GGGGGAAAACAACAACAUGGCAGCGCAGCAACGCGGUGCCUUCAGGGACACUCGAGGGUCGGAAAUCAGAACGCUUUUGAUCAGGCGUGUUCAAGUGACACUUGAAGGUCGGAAAGUAGGGGGAAAUUCACUUCACCUGAUCUUGGGCGGAACAUAAUCUUCAACGUGUUGCCAUGCAACUGAAAUCUGCCGAAGGCCUUCAGAUUUUCUGCCGUCGAAACAACACCAAUUGAAAUGGGUGAGGAUGAGGCAGCAUCUCCCAUAAUCCAUCCCCCCCCCCUCCACUUGCCUGCUUUCUUGCUUGGACACACGCAGGUCCAAACAAAAAUGACAUCACUGCACACUCAAACGUGACUCAGAGGCCAGCCAGUGGACCGCGAGCUCGCCCCCACGCACACGCAUACACCCAUCUGUCCAAUCCCCCCCCCCCCAUCCCCAAGGCCGCCCAGGGACUCACCCAGCUGGGGUGAUGAUGAUGAGAAUGAUGAAGGCCUGCAGACAACAAGCAAAGCAUGUCAUAGUCACAGUGAAUUAACGCCACGCUCUUGGGUGGCGUGCGGGGAUCGAACGGCGGCUCGUGCCACGCAAGCUGCUGUGUCAUCAUCACGUCAAGUGCACCCAUAUGAAAACUGCAGCGACUGGACACACACACACAGAAUGGCGUAAUCUCGUGUUUCCCUUGUGUGCGAGUAAUCCUUAAUCCCGGGAGUCACGGCGGGAACCCGACCAGUGAGCUGCCGAGUGAGGACUGUCAACAUAAUGGAAAGUAUGGACAUUGGACGAGCGGUGGUGUGGUGGUGGUGGUGGAGGAAGGAAGGGGGGCUUCGCUGUCAUCAUCCUCACAGUCAGCCAAUGGAGGGAGCAGGAAGAGAGAGACCCUUAUAAAGCUGAGCGGACCAUCGGCAUCAUCCUCCUCCUCCUGGUCCUUUUACAAAGAUGCCACGAUGGACGUGAGCUGAUGAGUGGGCUUUCUUUCUU
Molecule: long non-coding RNA, 978 nt
Organism: Syngnathus typhle (broad-nosed pipefish)
Lineage: Eukaryota; Metazoa; Chordata; Actinopteri; Syngnathiformes; Syngnathidae
Exons: 5
Source: RefSeq, a predicted model, not a curated record